This is a long non-coding RNA of Falco peregrinus (peregrine falcon), 892 nucleotides long. RefSeq lists it as uncharacterized. The transcript has 4 exons. The record is from RefSeq and is a predicted model, not a curated record. Lineage: Eukaryota; Metazoa; Chordata; Aves; Falconiformes; Falconidae.
UGCGUGCUCUGAUACAAGAUAAUGCUAUCAUACAAUAGAAAAUAUUCCCUACCUGCUACCAAGAUCAGUUUUACUGCUGAGGACACAGGCAGGCAACCUAGAGGCUCUCCAAGCAUGACAGUGCAUACUGCCACAUCCAACAGUGCACACAAGACUGGUACAAAAGAAUAGCUGGUCAUGAAGAGCAACAGGAAAGAACUAUUCUGGUACACAGCGAUCCUCUGUUUCGCUGAUUUGUGCCAUCACACUCACAAGAACCAUGUAAGUACAACCAUGAACAGAACAAAAUGGAAGCUGUCUCCAGAAGGGAAAGUCCCGUACCAUCUUUCACCCUGCAAUGUUUCCAGCACAUUACUUAACAACAAACAAUCCAGAAAGUGAACUUUGUUCUGUAUUAUCACAUUGGAGCUUUCCCACCUGCAGCCAAAGCAAGCGGUAGGAUCACAAAGGCUGAUUGCGUAUUGAUUUUGCAAGAGACUGCACAUAACUUCAGAGAGCACCAAUGACAGCUUUUGCUAUCAACACACCUCACUUUCCAGCAAAGUUGGAAAUAAAACCUUAUUCACCUUUCAGCUGAAGGUUUUCUGUGCUGCUGACCAUUUCUGAUUAACCAGCUCAUCUACAGGUGCUUACAAGUUAGAUACUAAGCCUCUGAGAUAAACAGGUCACUUCAACAUAACUUACUUUUUUCCUUUCACAAGUGAAUUGCUAAGAAACUUAUACCUACCCCUCUGAGAAAAAGAACAGUGGAGCCCAUAAAGCCUUCUGGAUAUUUUGUUUUUUACAAUAAUACUUUUCAUUACAUAGUUGAUAGAGGAAAGCAAUUUUCCUCCUCAUGCUUACUUGCAUACAAAUCAAAAACACUGAGUAUUUCUGGCUGUAGUAAAUAACA